This 1982-nucleotide ribosomal RNA is filed under the name Triticum aestivum (bread wheat). RNAcentral describes it as "partial small subunit ribosomal RNA". The record is from RNAcentral. Lineage: Eukaryota; Viridiplantae; Streptophyta; Magnoliopsida; Poales; Poaceae.
GGUGCUUCUCAACAGGCUACAUCUCGGCAAACUCGGCGGCCGGCAGGCGCCGCUUAGGUUGCCGGCCGCCCGCUGCGGCAUAGGGUGGGCUCGCGGCUUUGGCGGCGCAGCAGGCGUGCGCGCAGUCGGGGAGCAGCCGGCGGCGUAAAGGAGCUAAGCGCUCGCAGCCGCCGCUAUUGAAGGCGAAUGCGCGCGCGCCCUACCGCAGGUGCGAAACGAGAGGGGCGGUGGUGGUGGCGAGUGUAGAAACGGCGUCGGCGGAGGCGGGGAGGGGAGGGUCGGUGCGGGCAGAGGCCUCGCCGCGGCCGACGGGUGGUCCUAACUUGUGGUGCUUUAUGGAAACAAGGGUGGGUUACAGGUGGCCGUCCCCGAGAGGACACAGCACAAGUAGGUACCUACGUAGGUCGUCGUUCGUUCCUGGUCUUGUAGAGUAACAAGACCAAGUACCAUAGUACCGUUCGGGGUCACUGACCUGUAUACCCCUUCGUCACGACUUUUUCUCCGAACCACUAUUAAAGGAGUAGAUACGAUCAAGUAGUUUGUAGAUGCGGUUUAGAAAACUGCCCUAGUUACAUCGACCUUCCUCCAAUCGCUUUCUUCAGAACCUGCACCAAGUCUUCUACCGACCGAACUUUUUCUAAAGGAAGUAUCGUGUAAGAAACCCACCAAACAAACGAUCUAUACGAUAACGAUAUGAUAUAAGUGUCGUUCGUUUUCUUUGACCUUCACCACGAUCACAGUACGAGUGUUCACCUCCUAGACUUUAUAGUGCGUGAAGUCCUAAUCCACGGUAACGACCCAACCUCGGUUGAUUAAAAUAAUGUAACCGUUGGGGUGUAGAACCACAAUCUCCUUUUUUAGUCGAAGGUAAAGAAGUUCCCAACAGUUAAGAUCUCUUUGAACGUCGUGGAAACCGCGGGAAGUAACAGCCUGCGUGACCACGAGUUGAGAAAGAGUGACUACCACUUGGAUCGUUCGGUGGAGAGGAAGAUGAUUACUGUAGACUGGUACUCCUGUUUUUCAAGUAUAGACGUGAUCGUCGAAAAUUCUUGGCGUAAGACAUACGAUUACAAAGUAUACUGGUAUACCAACCAACCUUUUGUAGGAGUUAUUCCUCUCUUAACCUGGAAGCUUUCGGGAACGCAGCAAGUGAACUACCGAUGUUCAUGUAACACUUACACCUUAUGACAAGUGGACACAGCAGGCUACCAGGGGUAAAAGGAAGCGCCCGACGGUCUCGAUUUCUUCGACGUGUUUCAUGUGGCUUGUACCUUUUAUGGUUACUUAUAGUGGUCUACUACCUUCUCCUCUACUAAGCACCAAACGUCUCUCACCCCACCUUCUUUCAUCUACAGUUGAAGGUGCGCAGUGACACCGGAAUGAGACGAGUGUUGUUGUACGUACAAUUCUUACUCACCCAAGUGUUGCGACCACGACCACAAUAGCGGGUGCAGCGCCUGUCGUACUUUGUCUGUACAGACGGAAGGUUGAACAUUCUACAUCUGAACCCCACGACCGUAAGCGGUGCCAAUCAUGAGAAUAGUCCGUUGGAAACUCGAACGGCCAAAAGGAGGAUUCGUUGUCUCCCCAAAACGGUCAUAAGCUUCUAGGUUAGACGUCCUUAGUCACUGUGUAAAACAACGUCUGCCAAGCGUUUAGUCUACAUCUCAGUCCACGGUCGUGUUUAACUUUUACUUCUUUUUGGUGUGCCCCACUAUAAAAACAAAAGUCUACUAACGGAGCUGAACACGACCUUCGUUUACCAUGAACUUUACAUGGCGAGUGUAUGGGAGUUCCGAUGUGCACCAUGACUUUAAUUUAGACACGUAAUUGACUCCUCUUCCCCUUAUGCUUUUGGUAAGCUUACAACGGUAACAUGACUUUAACUUAGACAACAAACCCACGAAUACCCUACUGCACGUACUUUUUUAUCUUGUGGCUACCGACCUUAGUUACUUGUCCCAUAACCAGACAUACAACGG